Molecule: long non-coding RNA, 1673 nt
Filed under: Homo sapiens (human)
Lineage: Eukaryota; Metazoa; Chordata; Mammalia; Primates; Hominidae
Description: HSALNT0307659
Source: RNAcentral
UCAGACUAGGGUAUAAUUUGUUUUAUUUUUCAUGGGAAUGUAAAAUUAGUUGAAUGAAACAUCAUUGGAUCUUGAUGCAUUAAAUAUUAUAGCAGUGCUAAGGAUACUUAUUCUAAAACAACAUAAACAGAUAACCAUUUGUAUAAAAUCGUUAAAAGGAAUGUUUUACUAACCAGAAACAAAGUAAGAUGAAAGUCCACCACAUACUACUACUCCUACCAUAAUGGUGUAAUAAUUGGAAAAUAUGUAUUUGUACUAGCUUUAUUAUUUUAUAUUAUUAAUUGUGGUUCUCUAUAGUUCUUUUUCAUUCAGAUAAAUCAGUAGGCUUAAUUUCAGGUGUGUCAGCUAGUUACAGGGUUAAUAUGUUACUAUGAUACUAUUUCUUGUCAGUCAUAUUCUGUAUUUUCAAUACAGAUUAUUUUUUUGGGAAGGAUUAUUUUUUUGAGGUCGUCACUUUAGCUGUUAGAGCCAGAACAACAAUUCAGAUUUCUAGGCUUCAGUCCUGUCUUAAUCUGUUUUGUGUUGUUGUAAUGGAAUGCCUGAGACAGUAAUUUAUAAUGGACAAAAUUAUUUGACUCAUGUUAUGGAGGCUAGAAAAUCCAAUAUCAGGGUGCUGGCAGGACCUUCUUUCUAGGAUGCUGCUUAUCCCAUGGCAGAGUUCAAGAGAGAGAGGUGAUGGGGAGAAAACGGGGGUGAUAAGGAGCUUAAUGCCAGCCUUGUGUGAGCUGUAACAAUUUAAUCAUUCAGGUCCUCUGGCAAGUAGUGUUAUAGAAAUUGGAUCAUACCAUUAUUUGUUGUUUUUAUUUUGGCUUUUAAAAUGAAUGAACCAUGUGUCCUCCUUUUAAGUGAUUUUAGGAAGAGCAAAUGAUAAGGAUGGACUGUAACAUUUUUUCCAGUUACUUAAUUUCACUUUAAGAAUAGUGAUUUUUAUUUGUUUUAAAAUUUCCUGAGUGAGGGUUGUUAGGCAAAAUGGACUCCAUAGAGUGUAUCAUAUUUUCCUGUCACUUUAGUGUCUCAGAAUUAAACCAUCAUUUUAUGUGGAAGCAUAGCUCCGCUUUGCUCUACUGCAAGGCUUGGAAUUCAUACAGCAUCACUUCUGCUGCUUUUGUUGGAGGUAAUCAGAAAGUUCCACCCAAAUUCAAAGGGAGCAGAAAUAGACCAUGCCUCUUCAUGGAGGAAUGGCCAGGUUCUGAAAAAGCAUUUGGACCAAUAUUAUUCAUGUGGUCAUUUUUGGAAAAUACAGUUUGCUACAGAAGGGAGAGCAAGAGCAGAUGCUGGAAGAUCAGUAACAUGCUUCUAAUAGUCUAGGAAGGAUUUGAUGGUAGUGGAAGUGGAGGUUGUAAGAAGUAGAUAAUACAAAAGGUGUGCCGAAGUAUGGAUAGCAUCUGUUGAUUGAAAAGAUGUGGAUGGUGAAGGAGAUGUAUAUGUCAGGGAUGAUGCCCAUGUUUCUGACGGAAGGCUAAGGUCAACUUUCAGUGAUUGAUUAGAGAGGGCUACAUGAGCAAGCAAGGCUGAGAAGGACUAACCUGAGAGAUUGGAAGAAAACAAAGAGGUUGUAUGUCAUGGAAACCUGAGGUAGAAAGUAUUUCAUAGGUGUGCCAGUGCCUUUACUUUCUGCUUUCUCUUUCUACCUAGAAGACCACCCUAAUUUUGUUUUCGUUGUAUUUUUAACC